ACGAACGCUGGCGGCGUGCUUAACACAUGCAAGUCGAACGGAAAGGCCUGCUUUCCCUUGUGGAUUGCGGGUACUCGAGUGGCGAACGGGUGAGUAACACGUGAGUGAUCUGCCCCCAACUUGGGUAUAAGCCUGGGAAACUGGGUCUAAUUCCCGAUAGGACUGCAGGGUGGUGCCUGUGGUGGAAAACGAUUUUCUAGUGGUUGGGGAUGAGCUCGCGGCCUAUCAGCUUGUUGGUGGGGUAAUGGCCUACCAAGGCGGGGACGGGUAGCCGGCCUGAGAGGGGCGACAGACACAUGGGGACUGGGAUACGGCCCAGAAUCCUACGCGAAGCAGCAGUGGGGAAGAUUGCACAAUGGGCGGGAGACCGGUACAGCGACGCCGCGUGGGGGAUGACCGGCUUCGGGUUGUAAACUCCUUUCGGACGAGGGGAAGCCGCCUGGUUGGGAGGGUGGUGACGGUAGUGGUAGAAGAAGCACCGGCUAACUACGUG
RNAcentral lists this ribosomal RNA (493 nucleotides) under uncultured bacterium. RNAcentral describes it as "partial 16S ribosomal RNA". It matches the Rfam family "Bacterial small subunit ribosomal RNA", at positions 29 to 507 of the family's 1533-position model. The record is from RNAcentral.